AUUGAACGCUGGCGGCAGGCCUAACACAUGCAAGUCGAGCGGAUGAAGGGAGCUUGCUCCUGGAUUCAGCGGCGGACGGGUGAGUAAUGCCUAGGAAUCUGCCUGGUAGUGGGGGAUAACGUCCGGAAACGGGCGCUAAUACCGCAUACGUCCUGAGGGAGAAAGUGGGGGAUCUUCGGACCUCACGCUAUCAGAUGAGCCUAGGUCGGAUUAGCUAGUUGGUGGGGUAAAGGCCUACCAAGGCGACGAUCCGUAACUGGUCUGAGAGGAUGAUCAGUCAAAGGGAAAGUGAAACACGGUACGGACUCAAGGGGGAGGCGGGGGGGGGGAAUAUGGAACAAGGGGGAAAACCCUAAUCAACCCAUGCGGGGUGGGAGAAGAAGGUCUUCGGAUUGAAAACCAUUUUAGUUUGGGAGGAAGGGAAGUAAUUUAAUACCUUGUUUUUUGGGGUUAACCAAAAAGAAAGACCCCGGCAAACUCGGUG
Molecule: ribosomal RNA, 484 nt
Filed under: uncultured bacterium
Lineage: Bacteria
Description: partial 16S ribosomal RNA
Rfam family: Bacterial small subunit ribosomal RNA
Source: RNAcentral